AUCAAUGUAGCAAAUGUGUGCAAUGAAUUUAAGCUUCAUAAAUAGAGAAGAUCUCUUUGAUA
This 62-nucleotide transfer RNA is filed under the name Heterometrus longimanus. RNAcentral describes it as "tRNA-Leu". Lineage: Eukaryota; Metazoa; Arthropoda; Arachnida; Scorpiones; Scorpionidae. The record is from RNAcentral.